Molecule: long non-coding RNA, 1050 nt
Organism: Nicotiana tabacum (common tobacco)
Lineage: Eukaryota; Viridiplantae; Streptophyta; Magnoliopsida; Solanales; Solanaceae
Source: RefSeq, a predicted model, not a curated record
UUCCCCCCAUAUUGUUGCCCACUUUUAGUAGAGUAUUUCCUUCCUACUCCAAAAAAGUAAAAGAAUUCUCUCCUUCAUAAGAUCUCCAGUUUAGGGUUUCUACACCUUCUCACAAGGUCGACAAAAUCUGAAAUCUCUGCACCUUAUAGACAUAUCUAUCGAUUCUACUUCUCCUUGGAACAACUUUUCGACUAUUAAGUUGUAGGAUUGUUCGCUUCUCUCUGCGGUUUCUUCAUAAGGCCAUGUGUUCUUUAAAUUCUCACAAUAGAAAGAAGCAGAAGUGGAGACAUCUAAUGGGACCUGUUAAUUUUGGAAGAGUGCGCAUCAUUGCGUGCAACGAAAGAGAACAAUGAGGAACUAUCAAAGUCAGAAAUAUUUAUUGCAACUCGCACACAGGAAAGAAAGCAAGUUGAUCCAGACACCGAAAAUGCAAUAUAUGAACUUCAAAAUCGUCAACACACUGGAGAAACUGCGGAGGACUCAUUUAAGGAAGUGUUCGGAAAGGAGUAGCAUGGUCGAGUUUGAUGUUACGGUAGGUCCGUGACAACAAGUUCUUUGAAAAAGGAUGAGGAAAUCUUCAAAUUAAAUAGAAGCAUGCUGAUGAAAUCACUUCUUUGAAAGAAGAAGUAAAAGAACUGAAAGUAUUGAAGGAAGAAGUGCAGGAAUUACAACAACUGCGACAUCUUAUGAAAGUGUUGGUGGAAAACAACCCUGGUCUGAACCUUCAGGAUGUAGCAGGCUGUGUUGGGUAUAACCUAUCGUCCUAUCGUCUCUGAUUGAUGCGAGUAGUGCAUGAGUUGUCAAAGGACAAAAUCUUUCACAUUCCUCUGGAUCAACUCAUAGUCCGAUUCUUGAAAAGGAAAAUUACGGUGAUGCAAUUGGAAAUGGCGGCCGAAAGUCAAUUUGAUCUAUUUGAAGUCAAUCAAAGACAUGCUUUUGACAAUUAUGUAUAUUAUUCAUGAUACUAUAUGAAUACAUUCAGUUUUGUAAAGUUCAUUGCUAGCACACAACUUGAAGCAAUUUGCUUUAUUAUAAUUAGUUAAUGAAAUA